AAGCUACAACUCUUUCUGGAGAUAUGAUCUUAAUUAAGGUUUGAAUUAUUUAACUACUAGAUUUGAAUUAUUGUUCUUUUUGUUGCUGGUUUUUAGGAUACUGAUAAUGUGUAUUCACUUUAUAUUAGAUUAGGAUUGCGAUUGAGAUUUGUGUUUUAUAUCUAUCGUUAGUGUGAUUCGAUAUUUAGAGUUUGAGUAAUUGGUUAGUUAUCUGAUUAUAGAUUCAUGGGGUUUAACAUUUGUGUAUAAGUGAGUUUUCUGCUUCACAUGUUUAGUUGUAUGUAUGCAUUAUUGAGGUUACUUACACAUGCUUGUUUUUAAAAUUUUAAAAUCUCAUAACUUUGUAUAAUUAAUUUCAAUUGGAAUUCAAAUUCAAAAACUCUUAUGCUUAUAAAUGACUUCAAUACUAAUGAAUUAUAGUUGAUUUAUAUUUAUUUUUAUACAUCAAUUGAUACUUAGCAUGAGCAGGCUGCACCUUAUGUUGUUGCUGCAGCACACAGUAGCAUGAGCAUUCUGCUCAAGUUGCUGCAGCACACAGCAACAUGAGCAGCAACAUGAGCAAAACUUCUCAUGUUACUACUCUAACAGAAUGAGCAUAACAUUUUGCUUUCUUCCUAAUAUUUUAUCAUUUAAUUGAUUUAGUAUGCCACGUAUAUUUUGACAACUUUGCAUGUAGGAAGAUAUUUGGUAUUAAAUAAGUAGACUUUCUUUCUUUUUAUUGCUAUUUUGUCAUAAUUCAUAAUUAGCUCAUUAAAAUAUAUUUAGGAUUUAUAUUAUCUUUUUGUAGGAAUUAUAUGAUUGCAUAUUUGAUCACUGAAUUUGGCAAAGGAACCCUAUGAUGUGAACCUUUUUUCUUAUUCUUUUUAUUUUACUAAAGCAGUGGAUUAAAUUAAAAGUAUAACUUUUAAACAAUUUACUUUUUAAGUUGAAAGCAUUUAUUAUCAAAUUGGACAAAAUUUAUAUGAAUCUUAUGAUCAUAUAGUAUGAGACUUUAUCACCUGUAAAAAUUUUUAUGAAUUCAAGUAAGUAUACAUUCAUUGGAUGCAAUCAAUGGAUUUGGUUAUUUAUGUCAUCUGUUUAGGUUUUAUAAAAGUUUUCUAGUUAUUAUUCUUAUUACAUGAUACUAUAGAUUAUUACUAAGAAGAAGCCAUGUGAAGCAUAUCAAAUUAGAUUCAAAAAGUUCUAAUCGGACUCUUAAUUUUUGUUAGUAUUACACAUUCCUUUUGUAGUUGAAAACCAAAACAGGAGGGUUUAAAUUCGACAUUAAUUUUUUAUAUUUGUAGUAUUCAUAGUUGUGAUAAUGAUAAAUUAUCAGCUAUCCUGUUUCUUUUUAGUAUUGUAUUUUUUUAUAGCUUAUGCAUGAUAGAAUAAAUAAAUACAUUGAGGAAAUAAAAUAAGCUGGAUGGAUUGACUGCUUUGAGAAGAAAGUUAAAGAGGAAGGGAUGUCUCCAUCAGCUAUUCUGUUUAUUUUUAAGAAUUUUAUUACAUGAAUCGCAUGUGUGUACUUUAAUACUCUUUUAAAGAUAUAAUUUUUUAAUUAAAUUGUCUCAUGUGAUUGGAUACUUUUUGGUUGUUAAACUAUAUUAAAUUAUUUAACUUUUUAAAUACUUGAAUUUUUUUAUACAAUUUGAAUUUAUUAUGUAGUUUAAAUAUUUAUACUUUUAGUAUUGGACUAUAUUAGUGAUCAUACCAUUUUAGAUUGUAGAAUUAUGGAAUGAAAUAUACAAUUACAUAUUGUUAUUGCAACAAGAAUAUAAAUAUAUUAGGAAAAAAAUUGUAAAAAUUUAGCUUCAUAACAACGACUAAAUCAGAAACAAUGAUCUAAAUAAAAAAUACCUUAUUUGAUUUAACUACUAAUUAGCUGUAAUACCCGGCUAGAGUCCGGCAUCGGAAUUCCACUUCCCGGUGGAGUCCGGAAUGUCGGAAUUCUCUAGAAGGGUAAGAUUUAUGUUUUUCUCUAAUGUUUUGAUAUGUUCAUAGUUUUAAAGCUUCAGGAAAUGUGUUUUUGAAAGAAAAGAACCAAGGCAGAAAAGCCAGGUUCGGCCGCCGAAGGUGAGGUUCGGCCGCCGAACAUACAUAGCUUUCGGUUUCACGAUAGGCCGCCGAAGGUGGUCUGGCCAGCCACCUAUAAAAGGCCCUCAGUCGGUUGGAAGGAUAAGGAUUGCCUUUUCUUUCUCUUUCUGAGGUGAGACCCUGUCCUUCUUACGUUUUAUUCAUGUUUUCAUCAAAUCAUGCCAAUAGUUUAUUGAUUUUUAUAUUUUUUUGAAGGUUUUGAGCUAAAAAUACAAAGUUGUGAAGUUUGGAGAGUUUGAAGGAGAGUUGCUCCAAAACUCCACGUUGGGAUCGUUCAUCUUCUUGUGUUCAAGAGGUAAGUGAAGAUCCUGAGCUUGUUUUCAUGUUUUCUGAAGGUUUUAGAAGGGUUUUGGGUAGAGUUGCAUGAAAAGGGUAAAAAGUGAGGGUUUUGGUGUUUUGUUGAUCAACAGCAUGUUUAUGUGUUAUAUGUGUUGUGUUGUUGGGGUUUUUAGGUAGUUUCUGACCCCUUUGAGCAUAUACUUGGGUGUAUGGAAGUUGAGGACUUAAGGUGGUUGAGUUUGGGAUGGUUUUGUGCAUUUUGGCGAGAGGCAAAGCAAGUUUCUGCCUUGCUGAUGAACCCAGCUUCGGCCGCCGAAGAAUGGUUCGGCCGCCGAACCCCUGAGGAAGUGGCUUCGGCUGCCCAAGCUUGCCCCCGAGCUUUUGGACUUUCGGCUCUGGAGGGGAGUUUCGGCCGCCGAAGGUGCCGCCGAAGGUUAGAGACUUUCGUCUCUCGAGUGCCUUUCAGCCCCCGAAACUUGCCCCCGAAACUUGCCCCCGAAAGGGUUCGACUGCCGAAAGUUGAGAUUCGGCCGCCGAAGGUGCAUGAGUUUCGGCUCUGGAGAGGACUUUCGGCCGCUGAACCUGCCGCCGAAAGUGUUCUGUCCAGCCUUCCUUUGCAUGCUUUGUAUGGAUGUUUGAGUGACUUUAAGGGGAUUCUUGGGGAGUUUACUAGAGUUGUUCAUAAGCUAGUUUGGUCCCUCAUUUGAGUUUAUCUGUGCCUACACAGACUAGAGGAACCAGAGAGAGCAGCAGUGAGUCCUGCUCCAGAGUGUACAGCGCCUGCAGAGUCAGUCCAGAUAGCCAGAGGUGAGUGGAACUAAAUGAAAUCUUUUAAUUGAGAAAUGGAAUGGUUUUAGCAUAUGUCAUGCAUCAUGAGUAUACAGUAGGUUGCUUGCAUUAGAAUUCACGAAUAUGUUGCAUUGCAUAGUUAUUUGUUGAUGUGGGUGAAUGCUGAAUGAUCCAAUAGUCAUUGAGAUAAGUCCAGGAGCCUUUGACUACGCCCUGGCAGGUAUAGUAAAGUCCAGGAGCCUUUGACUACGCCCUAGCAAUGGUAAGUCCAGGUGUUAUAUACACAUAUACAUAUAUGAGACAGGAAAUCCAGGUGCCUUUGACUACGCCCUAGUAUGAGAUACUGGGACUAUUUGGUGACAGGUUUACCCUUGAUGUGGAUUGUCUGUGUUAUGAUGCAUUCCAUAAGGUCAUGUUUUAAUGAUAUGUUUUACUGUUUUACUGUUCUACUCACUGGGCUAUAGAGCUCAUCCCACUCCCUUAACCCUAGUCUUGCAGGUUCAGUGUACAGUAUACAGGGGAGAUCAGCAGAGUACAGAAAGAGUAAAGAGAUUUGUAAUAGCUUAGAGUGGACAUGUAAUAUUAAAGAG
RNAcentral lists this long non-coding RNA (3731 nucleotides) under Manihot esculenta (cassava). Its description in RNAcentral is "long non-coding RNA (MESC_LNC010120)". The record is from RNAcentral. Lineage: Eukaryota; Viridiplantae; Streptophyta; Magnoliopsida; Malpighiales; Euphorbiaceae.